Non-coding RNA from Lolium perenne, 695 nucleotides. Lineage: Eukaryota; Viridiplantae; Streptophyta; Magnoliopsida; Poales; Poaceae. The record is from RefSeq and is a predicted model, not a curated record.
AUCUCCGACAAUCACAUAUGCCAAUGAGGUAAUGUCACCGGUGUGAAUUCACUUCUCAUUUGGUGUUGCUGGUUACAUUGUGCUCAACAAUCAGCACACAUGUAUUUAUACCUGGAAGUUAUAGAUGCACUCUAGAAUUAGUUCGAGUUCAGUUCUUGGAUCUUCUUACUCAUAGCAAUUGUUUUGUAUUUUAAUUUUGCACAGAAGUCUACUGAAAACAGCAUGUUUGUACAAACUGGCUGCAUCUUUUUAUUGUGUGCUAUCUGUAGGUGCAGCCAUUAUCAAAUCAAGGUGCUCUUGUAUGGUGAGCGAUAUAUCUUUCUUCAAUCUCUAGAAUAAGUGCACUAUCAGGUGGGCUCUAAUGGCGAGCAAGCGCGUGGCAAGCUGCUAUUUCCUACAUAUUUCCUACCUAGUUUGAUAAAGUUUACGGCUUUUCUCAUAAAAAAUAGCACGAACCUUGAUGCACAGUUGAGAUGUAUAUGGCCUAGGCGCCAUUUUUUUUCUUUUCGAUUUGAGAUGGGAUCUGCUUGGCUUUUGGGAUCCUUGUAUGGAUCCAUUUGGCAUCUUUUUGUUCAAAUUCAUAGUACAGUACUUUAUAUGGAUCCGGUAUUCCGCUGCAUGUUUGUAUGGAUACCUUUAAAAUGGAUCUAUAUUUCUUGAAAAUGAGUGUGCAACUACACACAACUUUACGAUGA